This 94-nucleotide transfer RNA is filed under the name freshwater metagenome. Its description in RNAcentral is "tRNA-Thr". The record is from RNAcentral.
GCUUCGUGUAGCCCAGGAGCGAGGCGCCCGAGCCGUACUCGCGGACCUGCGUGGUCUCGCACUGCGACUGCAGGUCGUGCUCGCACAUGAAGCA